RNAcentral lists this ribosomal RNA (443 nucleotides) under uncultured bacterium. Its description in RNAcentral is "partial 16S ribosomal RNA". It matches the Rfam family "Bacterial small subunit ribosomal RNA", at positions 338 to 795 of the family's 1533-position model. The record is from RNAcentral.
CCUACGGGUGGCAGCAGUGGGGAAUAUUGGGCAAUGGAGGCAACUCUGACCCAGCAACGCCGCGUGAAUGAUGAAGGUCCUCGGAUUGUUAAGCUCUGUGUUGGGGGAUGAAAACAAUGACGGUACCCCAAUAGCAAGCCACGGCUAACUACGUGCAAGCAGCCGCGGUAAUACGGAGGUGGCAAGCGUUAUCCGGAUUGACUGGGCGUACAGGGUGCGUAGGUGGUUUAGUAAGUUGGCGGUGAAAUUCCGGGGCUCAACCUCGGCGCUGCCGCCAAAACUGGUAGGCUAGAGUGCAGGGGGGGUAAGUGGAAUUCGUAGUGUAGCGGUGGAAUGCGUAGAUAUUAGGAAGAACAUCAGGGGCGAAGGCAGCUUACUGGACUGUAACUGACACUGAGGCACGAAAGCGUGGGGAGCGAACAGGAUUAGAUACCCGAGUAGUC